Molecule: long non-coding RNA, 414 nt
Organism: Trichoplusia ni (cabbage looper)
Lineage: Eukaryota; Metazoa; Arthropoda; Insecta; Lepidoptera; Noctuidae
Exons: 3
Source: RefSeq, a predicted model, not a curated record
UUUGUUACGUUUUGUUAAACAAGGUAGUUUAUUGUCAGCUAUUUCAUUCUUAUUGCAUGGACGCUUCUCCGUUCACCCAGUAGGGAUAAUUACGACAACUGGAUAAUGAGCGACGAGGGUUUUUAAAAGAAGGAUUUUUUUGCUGUUUUGUCCGUUGCUUUAGAUAUCAACAUACGAAUUAAAAUGCGCACUAAAGGUUACGCAAAGAAAGACAUGAAGAACAUUAAGGGGACAUCUGAAAAAAUGACUCCUGACAACUGGGUAUUCGUGAGCUCUGUCUACUGCAACUGCAAUGUCUGCGUCAAAUAUGGGUGUGCUGACAAACCAGUGAUCUUCGUGAACCCAAAGGUAAUGCACUGCAAAAGCGAGGACUCUACAGAACCCGUUAAUCUAGGCAACGUACCUAUAGCUACU